This is a small nuclear RNA of Manis pentadactyla (Chinese pangolin), 109 nucleotides long. Lineage: Eukaryota; Metazoa; Chordata; Mammalia; Pholidota; Manidae. The record is from RefSeq and is a predicted model, not a curated record.
GUGCUCGCUUUGGCUGCACAUGUAGUACUAAAACUGGAAUGCUAGCAAGAAGAUUAGUACGGCCUUGCACAAGGAUGACAUGAAAAUUCAUGAAGCGUUCCACGUUUUU